This 258-nucleotide ribosomal RNA is filed under the name uncultured Clostridium sp. RNAcentral's name for it is "partial 16S ribosomal RNA". It matches the Rfam family "Bacterial small subunit ribosomal RNA", at positions 356 to 633 of the family's 1533-position model. Lineage: Bacteria; Bacillati; Bacillota; Clostridia; Eubacteriales; Clostridiaceae. The record is from RNAcentral.
GGGGAAUAUUGCACAAUGGGCGAAAGCCUGAUGCAGGACGCCGCGUGAGUGAUGAAGGCCUUCGGGUUGUAAAGCUCUGUCUUUGGGGACGAUAAUGACGGUACCCAAGGAGGAAGCCACGGCUAACUACGUGCCAAAGCCGCGGUAAUACGUAGGUGGCGAGCGUUGUCCGGAUUUACUGGGCGUAAAGGAUGCGUAGGCGGAUGUUUAAGUCAGAUGUGAAAAUCCCGAGCUUAACUUGGGAACUGCAUUUGAAAC